RNAcentral lists this ribosomal RNA (2673 nucleotides) under Triticum aestivum (bread wheat). Its description in RNAcentral is "partial small subunit ribosomal RNA". Lineage: Eukaryota; Viridiplantae; Streptophyta; Magnoliopsida; Poales; Poaceae. The record is from RNAcentral.
AUGGCGGAGAUUGUGAUUCUUCUAGCCAUUAAAAAGAUCGGAAUCGCCUUGGCAAGUAGAGCGGCAGACCAUGUCAGCGUGCACUUUGCAAAGUACAAGACACAACUAUUGGAGCUACAGGGCAGUAUGGGUCGUGUUGCAAGGGAGCUUCGCAUAAUGCAUGAUGUUCUAUGUCACAUGGACAUUCGAAACUGCAACAGUCAAGUAUAUGACGGCUGGUUGGAGGAGGUACGGAAAGUAGCACAUGUGAUGGAGGACAUGGUGGAUGAGUACUUGUAUCUAGUAGGACAGAAACAUGAUACAGGGUCUUGCUUUUACCUCAAAAAGGGGUUCAGAAAACAAAGUUCUCUGCUUUCUAUGAACCAGAUAGCUGUCAAGGUGAAAGAAAUAGAGAAAGACCUUACUCACCUGUCAGAGACAAAAACCCGUUGGGUUCCCAUGAUAAACAACGGGGAUAGUGGCAGCACUAAUUACAUCGUCAAGAGGUCCCAAGAUCUAGCAAAAAUUUCACGUUCCCUUGACGAAGAAGAUCUAGUGGGGGUUGAUAAAAACAGAGAAAAACUUGAGCAGUGGUUGGCAGGCGAUGAUUUUGGACACUCUGUAAUAGCCCUGCUUGGAAUGGGAGGUCUUGGUAAAACUGCUUUAGCUGCAAAUGUGUACAAGAAGGCAAGGGAGAAAUUUCAGUGCCACGCCUGGAUCUCCGUCUCCCAAACUUAUUCUAGAGAAGAUGUCUUGAAGAAUAUAAGCAAGGAACUUUUCAAAGAUAAUGUCAGUGUUCUAUCUAAAACUCCAGCUAUGGACAUCACAUGCCUUGAAGAGACAAUGAAGAGUUUUCUGGAGCAACAAAAGUAUUUGAUCAUAUUGGAUGAUGUUUGGACUCCAGAAACAUUUGAUGACUUGUCUAGGGUGCUUACUAAUAAUGAUAAAGGUAGUAGAAUUAUAAUGACAACAAGGGAAGGCCAUGUUGCUGCACUUGCCUCUCCAGGACACAUCUUAACACUAGCACCUUUACCAGAAGAUAAGGCAUGUGAUCUCUUUUGUAAAAAAGCCUUUCCAAGAGAUACUGAUCAUGAAUGUCCUGUGGAGUUGAAGCCUUUGUCCGAACAAAUAGUUAACAAAUGCAAAGGCUUGCCCCUUGUUAUUGUAUUAGUUGGUAGCCUUUUGUGUGUGCGCGAGAAAACAGUGGAAGAAUGGAGAAGAAUUAAUGAUCAAUUGAGUUGGGAGCUAAAUAACAAUUCAAGCUUAUUUCCAGAAGACUAUCUUCUCAAAAGGAAACAACUUGUACGGUUAUGGAUAGCAGAGGGGUUCAUCGAGGGAAGGGGUGAUAGCACAUUAGAAGAAGUGGCAGAAGGCUAUCUGAAGGAGUUGAUUGAUAGAAACAUGCUGCAACUUGUUGAAAGGAAUAAUUUUGGUAGGAUGAAAAGAUUCAGAAUGCAUGACAUCUUACGUGAAUUGGCAGUUGACUUGUGCCAGAAGAACUGUUUUGGUGUUAUAUACGAGGAUAAGUGUGGGGGUUCUCUACAGAUGGAUGGACGUCGAUUGGUAAUGCAUAGAGUGAAGAAGGAUAUUCACCAGUCAUUUUCUAGCAUGCACCACCUUCGAACUGUCAUUAUACUGGAUGGCUGCAUGCCAUCAUUCACUCUACUUCCUCUGCUAUGUAAGAAAUCAAGAUAUAUGGCAGUGCUAGAAUUAAGUGGUCUACCUAUCGAGAAGCUUCCAGAUGCUAUUGGUGAUCUUUUUAAUCUCCGCCAUUUGUGUUUACGUGAUACAAAAGUGAAGGUGCUCCCGAAGUCUGUUGAGAAGCUUUCAAAUUUGUUGACACUGGACCUUCAUGGAUCUGACAUACAUGAGUUGCCUAGUGGGAUCGGGAAACUGAAGAAGCUUAGGCACUUAUUUGCUGAGAAAACAAUUGACCCAGAUUGGAGAGAGAUUCAAUGUUGCAGUGGUAUGUGUAUCCCCAAAGGUCUUGGAAAUCUAACAAACCUACAGACAUUACAAGCAUUGGAAGCACAAGAUGAGUCUGUUAGACAUUUAUGGGAGCUGACACAAGUGAGAAGUUUGAGGUUAUGGAAUGUGAAAGGAAACUACUGUGGCCGCAUCGGUGAGUCUCUAGUUCGGAUGCGCUAUUUGUCCUGCCUAGAUGUGAAUGCAAGUGCUGAGAACGAGGUUCUCUUGUUGAAUGUCUACCUGCCAAGCCUGCAAAAGCUGUAUUUGAGAGGACGACUAGCGGAAGGGGCUUUCGACGAGUCUCCUCUCUUCCAAGCUGUUGGGGGGCAGAACUUGCAUGUAUUGAAUCUAUCUUUAUCACAAUUGAGAGAAGACCCCCUGCCAUCCCUUUCUCGGUUGUCAAAUUUGACGCGUCUACAAUUCACUAGAGCCUACAACGGAGAGCAGCUGACAUUUCGCACAGGGUGGUUUCCCAAGCUAAAGAUUCUCGUUCUAAGAGACAUGCCUAAUCUGAAUCGGCUAGAGAUACAUAAAGGUGCCAUGGCGAGCCUGGAAAGAUUAGUCUUAGCCAACCUCAGCGGUAUGAUGGAGGUCCCACCUGGCAUUGAGUUUCUCAUGCCCCUCCAGCGUCUGGUCUUCCAGGAAAUCACCAAUGACUUCUUGACAUUGUUGCGCGAGUGUUCUGCAAUUCAAGGGGCCCAUGCGGUGUAUUCUCUCCGAUAUUGA